CGGCCCUGAGGGGGGGCGAACGGGGCGGCCGCCCCGGGCCCCCAGGUGCCAAGGGGCCCCCAAUUCUUCUCUGAUUUCCUGCCCAGAACGCCGAGGUGCACCUGCAACCUUUUCCUUGAUUUCCUGCCUUCCUUUCUUCGUGCUUCUAGUAUACGAUUGAUGGUCCUUCCAAUUAAUUAAUAGAGCAGUUAUUGGAUGCGGUUAAUUAGGCACGGUUAUGGAAACAAUCCGCUCUUAGUUUCCUUACUUAAUCUUUCCGUGAAAAACACCUUCCUUAAUUCAGAAGCCGAAAGUUGUGCGCCCAAUUUUUUGUGAGAAAAACAGGACUGGUGGGAAGCGACAAUGAUACGGACGGCGAGAAUAGAUCAAGAUCGCGAAGCUUGAUAUCCAUCUACUACUAUGCAUGCAUGGUGCCGCCUCGGCUCGGAGCAGUUAAGUUUCAUCCGUAACUUGUCCAUAAGUGUAGCAUUUUUGCAGUCGCUGCCUCGGACGAGACCACACUGACUCGGUGGGAGGCUAGAUCAAUACUGUUAGGAUACGAUGACAGUUACAGAAAAGAAGGUAUGUCUCUAAUCUCUAUUUUUAUAGGUAGUCUGUAUGUAUGGCCUAGGAAAUUUUAUCAUGAUAGUUGAUUAGAAGUAUGAAUGAUCAUCGACAUGCCCUCUGCGUUGUUGCAAUUGGAAACUAACAAUUGAUUUAUCAGUAUUGUUAACGGAUAGAUAUCAUUCGGGUUAUUAUUUUUUUAUAUGGAGGAUUAAACUAAUCCAUAUAGGGGCUAUACAUAAUACAAUCUGACAUCUAAAUGGAUGAUAACGUGAGUGAUCAUUGGCAUUUAAAUUAUUCAUUAUUCUAGACGAGGUGCCAGUUUUUUCUACAGCUGAUUAGGAUGAAAGAAAUUAUAGGAUAAACAUAACAAUAAAGCUACCAGAUAUAUUGCUAACGAAGAGACUUAAACAGGAACAUAUUGUAUAAAUAGUAAAAAAGAAAAAGAAACAUACUGUAUUUUCUUUGACUAGCGAUUUAAAAUAUUUUUGGAAAUACAUACUUUUGUUUAUACUAAGGGCCCCUAGGAUUUAGUUUUGCCCCGGGCCCCCAAAAUGUCAGGACCGGCCCUGUGUGCAUGCUAGCUAGGUAGUUAGUGGGUCAAAGUAGUGGCGUGAGUUUAGGUGACACUGGUGCUGGCCCUGUGUAUAUAUAGUUUGCAUUGCGUAAUAGAAUAAGCAGGCCGGGAGGGCUGUGGAAAAAUGUAGUGUUUGUGUCACCAAGGAAGAGAGCUGUCGGCAAAGCCGGUGCUGGUUUCUUCCUUGGGCGUGUGUGUACGUGUGUGUUCAUGAGAGUGUUCUUGUGUUCUUGUGAGAAACCAUAUACGAGAGAAGAGAGAGUUGAGAGGAGGAAGAAGAGCGGCGCUGCGAGGAUGAGGCGGUGCCAACAGGUCGGGGGCCGCCGGUCGAGGCGGAGGGGAGGAACACCUCCCUCCCUGUCGCCCUCCUCGCCAUCUGUGUCUCAGGGGCGCCAUAGCUAAAAUUUGACGUGAGAAGUGCAGCCACAACAAUGGGCAGCCAAAUAAAAAAUAUAGGGAGACAUAAGGAGAAUAUAACUGGUCAUACUUCAACAAUGGCCACACUACUUAUGAUGGUUCAAGAGAAGAUAUCCGUGAUACUGAGCCUGGUGAUGAGGGCAUCAAGACAAAGAGAUUAAUUCACAACUCUGUUGUUGAUAGGUUGUACAAAUUUACAAGGCACCAUGAUAUGUAACUUAUGUUUGUUGCUUCGGAGAGUACUGCCAUGCUGCCAUGGUCUUCAAAAUGUGGAAGGUGACUUUUGCUUGAUCUAGAGUGGACGUUGAGCCUUGCCUUGUGGUGGCAGUAGACAAGGAAGUCGCCCAUUGAUUGAUCUUGAGAUGGCCAUGUCCCUGCAUUGCGGACGCUGAAGACAGUGUGUGUGAAUUUUUAGAGUACAUGCUUGGCACUACAUCUACUACUCCAAGAUUAUGUGGUGUUGCCUUGCUGACCCAAAUGUCCGGGGUCUCUUUAAGGAGAAGCCAGAUGGAACAAAGCAUGAUAACGGUCAUUUGCCUUUCUCUGGGUAAUACCGAAGUGACUGCUCGGCUACCAACCAACGUCUCACCUUUUGUUUCAUUGUGUAUGCUGUCAACUGGCACUGAAGAAAAUAGUGAUUUGCUGCUGACUGACAUAGUGAAAAAAGAGAGGUACAAUUGAAUCAAUAGUACUUUUCCAUAAGUGUGUCUCAUGUAGCUAAACAUUUGCAUCUUUUUUCUCAUCAUGUAAAAAAAUUAGCAACGAGUCGUUCUUGCCUGCACACUCCCACAGUUGACAUGCAAGAAGGGCAGGAAUUAAAUCAGUAACCUCAUGUACAUAGAUUCCAUCUUCUACUCGCCUUUCUAAGAAAUUCUUUUGCGUUUGUUUUUCAGCAUGUGGUUUGUUGGAUCUGACCAGAACUGGUUACCAUUGUUAUAGUUCAGCCAAACAAUAGAAAUAGGCAACAUCAUGUUAGUUAAAUGCAACCGUUAUGGUUCUAUGAUAUUAUGCUAUUGGUACGGCUUGGUCCAUCAAACAUCACUUGUUGUCUACUUAUUCUUUGCUGACUUCCUUUUUUAUAUCUCUUAUGAAGAAAGGUUGUUACUCACUUUAUUUAUGAUGUCCUGUUUCUUGUCUCACGUUGCAUCAUUUCAACAGAUGUGAGUCUUUUAGUGGUGCCUUUUGGAGAUAAUAGUUAUGUAACAGAGAUAAUAGACAAAAAACAAAGAAGUAUUAUUGGGUACUCAACUAUGAUAUGGAAGGCAUUUCUGAUUUUGUCAAUGACAACCCACCAAACACACCCAUCAGGAAGAGUUGCUUAGAUGUCGAGGUCAUUUUUCAUACCAAUGGCACAUGUAGCAUGACUACCUGAUGUAAAUGACUGCAUAACUUAGUUAACAUAAGCUGAAUGACCAGAGCUAUCUAUAUGAUGCAUUUCUGCCUAUGUAGCUUUGCUUAUCAUGAACUGAUCUCGUGCCUUUCUUUUGGCCUAUAAACCGACCAUGCAUUGUAAUAUAU
Long non-coding RNA from Triticum aestivum (bread wheat), 3055 nucleotides. RefSeq lists it as uncharacterized. Lineage: Eukaryota; Viridiplantae; Streptophyta; Magnoliopsida; Poales; Poaceae. The transcript has 4 exons. The record is from RefSeq and is a predicted model, not a curated record.